GACGAACGCUGGCGGCGUGCUUAACACAUGCAAGUCGAACGGUAAGGCCUUUCGGGGUCAUGCGAGUGGCGAACGGGUGAGUAACACGUGAGCAACCUGCCCUUGACUUCGGAAUACCAGCUGGAAACAGCUGCUAAUACCGGAUAUGACCCUGGUCCUCCUGGACUGGGGUGGAAAGCUCCGGCGGUCAGGGAUGGGCUCGCGGCCUAUCAGCUUGUUUGUGGGGUAAUGGCUCACCAAGGCUUCGACGGGUAGCCGGCCUGAGAGGGGGACCGGGCACACUGGGACUUGGGUACGGCCCAGACUUCCACGGGGGGCAGCAGUGGGGAAUAUUGGACAAUGGGCGGAAGCCUGAUGCAGCAACGCCGCGUGCGGGAUGACGGCCUUCGGGUUGUAAACCGCUUUCAGUAGGGACGAAGCCACAAGUGACGGUACCUACAGAAGAAGGACCGGCUAACUACGUG
This 464-nucleotide ribosomal RNA is filed under the name uncultured bacterium. RNAcentral describes it as "partial 16S ribosomal RNA". It matches the Rfam family "Bacterial small subunit ribosomal RNA", at positions 28 to 507 of the family's 1533-position model. The record is from RNAcentral.